GUUGAGCCUUAGGCACAUGCCAAGGUAUUUUCGAUUUUUGUUUUUCGAAGAUCAACACAUAAUUCAAGAGGUGAGUUGAGCUUCGGGUCGCAUGCCGGGCUAUUUUUGAUUUCUUUUUUAAUAAAAAAUAAAGAAUAAAGAUAGCACAAUUGAACAAAAUUUAGUGCUUUUAAGUCUUUGCUCUAUCCCUGUUUCACAGCAAUGAGCAAAGAGGGGCAGCUGUAAACACUAAAUUUUGUCCGGCUUUAAUUUUCAAAAAAAAUACAAAAAUAAAAAAUUAUAUUUUGACCCCUUAACUUUUUUAAAAUUAUGUUUUGACCCCUUAACUUUCCUAAAAUUACAUUUUAACCUAUAAACUUCUCGAAAUUAUAUUUUAACCCCUAAAUUUUCUCAAAAUUACACUUGGACCCAAAAGUUUUGUUGCAUUUGCAAUCUGGUCCCUCUAGCAGACAGGCGCGAUUUGCGCACCUGCCCUCCGCGAUUUUCGGCCGCCGGCCCAAUGCAUGGCCUCUCUUCUCCACUGCCACCUGAAGACAACAAGGAAGAAGACAAAAUUGAAGGAUUUAAAAGAAGAAAAUGAGAGAAAGAGAGGCGGAUGGGGGUUUUUGCAGAAAAAAAUUGAAAAAAAAACAGCAGCAAAACAUUCAAGAAACAGCAGCCCAAAGCCUCCUCCUGCAACCAUCCCCAUCGCCGCACCGCCACCGUGACAUCACCACCACCACCACCGCAACCACCAAAACCACCACUUAAAACCCAACCACAAAGCAACCAACCAAAAAUCAAGAAAAAAAACUUCCAAAAAUCAGCAGCCAAGGAUUUAAAAAAAAAAGCAUUUCCCUUGGAAUCGUCGGCCACCGAGCGCGGAGAGGAGCCGAGGACAAGUACAGUGGCGGCGCUUUCAACCUUGGGGGUUGCCGAGAGAAGGAGGAAGAAGAAAGAAGAAAAAAAGAAAGAAGAAAAAGAAAAAUAAAGAAAAAGAAGAAGAAAAAGAAAAACGAAAAAAAGAGAGAAAAAAAAUAAAAAAUAACAGACGGGUCAACCCGACCCGACCCGUGCAAACCAGCCCGAACAGGCCAGCCCAGCAGACCAUCCACACCAGCAGCAGCAGGCCCAAAGAGCAGCCCAAAAAAAAACAAAGCAGAAAAAAAUAGAAGCAGGCCACAACAGGCCCAGUGCAGCAGCUUGUACUAAGCCCAGCGCAGAAGCAGGCCAGCCCAGCAGGCCCAGUUCGCCCAGCAGCCCAGUAGAAAAAAAAGAAAAAGAAAAGAGAAGAAAAGAAAAAAGAAAAAAGGGGGGCCCAAGUUGUGCGGCCCAUUCAAUUAAGCUUGUAUUUUCGAGCUUUUCGGUAAUUUUCUUUUUCCAUUUUUAAUUUAAUUUGUGUACUUUUAUAAUAUCUCGUAUUUUAUAUUAUGGUUUUAAUAUUUUCUUUAUUUCUAUUUUAAUUUUACAAAACAUCAUUAUAUUUAUUUAUUUUAAUUUUAAAUAAUUUCAAUAAAUAAGGCAACGAAUCGAUUUAACAUUAAAUCGUUUGAUUUCAUCGCUAUGUUGGGUGAAUAUCACCAGUUUGUGUUAAACACGAUACGCCCUUUUAAGAAUCGAAAAUAUUCAAAAAAUUUCGUGUUUUUUUUUUUAAAUAAGGUUUCUCGUGUUUUAAUAGAAUCACGAUUAAAUAUUAAGUUGAAUCGAUUUAACACUAAUUCGAUGAUUUCAUCGCCAUGUAGGGGUGGAUAUCAUUGAUUCGUGUCAAAAACGGUACCUUAUUUAAAAAAAUAAUCGUGUUUAAAAAAUUUUCAUGUUUUCAAAAUUUCUCGUGUUUCAAAAAAUAAUAAUAAAAUUUCUUGUGUUUUAUAUUCGUUUUUUAAAAAAAACUUCGUGCUUCAAAAAUUUUCGUAUUUCCAAAUAUUUUCGUGUUUCAAAAAAUCUCGUGUUUUCAAAAAUUUUCAUGUUUUAGAAAUUUUCAUGUUUUUAAAAUUCUCGUAUUGCAAAGAUUUCCGUGUUUUCAAAAAUUUUUCGAAUUUCAAAAUUCUCAUUUUUUUUUAAAAAUCUCAUGUUUCGAUCAAAUCACAAUUAAAUGUUAAUUUGAACUCGUAUUUUUGAAAAUUAAGACAACACACGUUUAACGAGAUAUCAAUUUUGGGUGUCGCGAGGGUGCUAAUACCUUCCUCGCACGUAAUCGACUCCGGAACCCUAAUUUCCUCUGGAUUUUGACGUAGACCUAAACUCGACCUUUUUAAAAGAAAAUUUAUAAAAUAAUUUUUUUAUUAAAAGGAGGAUUUAUUAGGUGUCCGAUCACAACUAGGAAAAAGGAUCGGUGGCGACUCCCUUUUUAAAUAAAAUCGAAAUUCCGUUUUCAAUUUUUCAAUAAUUACUUCGACUAGCGCCCGUGCAAAAAUUUUUAGGUCGCUACAUCCAUUUUUUCUUUCUUUGCUGUCUUUGUUUGUUUUUGUUUGCAGGUACGGUGUAUAAAGGUACGUGCCGUGGAGGUGUGGUAUGUGCGAGGGCAGAGGCUGGGUCCUGGUUGUUGCGGCGCUGGAGUAGUAUACGGCUAGGGUUUUUUUGUUCCAUUUUGGUGUUGGGCCGUAUGGUAAUUUGGGCCAGGGUUAGGUGUUAGCUUUUACUUUCUGUAAUUGGGUUAGGUAUUUGGUCUGUAUUGGGCUGGUUUAUUUUUGGGCAUGCAACCAUGGACUUUUAUUUAAUAAUUUUUAUAUUUGGCUUUUUAUUAUUUACGAUUUUAGUAUAUGGGCUGGCAAAAAUGGGUCAUUACAGCUAUAAACUGCGAAAUAAAAGAGCUGUUGAGAGUAAUGAGGAAGAUGUAGCUGGUGCUAAUUUGGCCGAUGAAAGCAGUGAGAUUUCUUGUUAGUGUCAACGAGCGAUAACUCCAAGCUCACGUCUAAGUUGUCUAAGUGGAUCCUAGAUUCAGGAUGUUCUUUUCACAUGUGUCCCAAUAGAGAAUGGUUCUCCACAUACAGUUCGGUUGAAGGUGGAGUUAUGCGCAUGGGAAACGAUUCAUCUAUUAAGGUAAUUGGUAUUGGUACUGUUAAAAUUAGGAUACACGAUGGGACGAUUAAGACACUCUCAGAUGUCAGGUAUUUACCUGAUUUACGAAAGAAUCUCAUCUCCUUGAGUAUUUUAGACUUGAAAGGAUGCAGAAUCAACAUCGAGUCGAGCGGCAUUAAAGUAUCUCGUGGAGCUCUCGUUUUGUUAAAAGGUUUUGAAAAGUUAAGGCACUGUGUUCGUGAAAAUUAGACCCGGGUUAGUUUUGAUUUGGCAGUGUACAAGUCGAAGGCUAGAAGUCUUCCAGUUUCUAAGCACAGAUUCGACUCAGUUAAUUCUCUGCAUAGUUCAAGAUAGACUCGUGGCGAGCUUUGGCAAAGAUGGCGUUGUAGAAUUAUGAGUCAAGGUGAAGAUUUGUUAAGUACAUCCCUCUGAAAGUUUUGUUAAUCAUCAUUGGGGUUGAGCUCAUUGGAUGAGGGAACACUAGUAUUGGGGUUAGCCAUUGUCAUCCACUUACGACACCAAAUUGUUUGAGACUGUCAAGGAGGAACAGAUGACAGUUGUAAUGGUGGUUCACCUUUGGUCGAGACGGAGAGCCACUAAAUAGGGUGUCUAGUAAAGUUGAUUGAUGAAGUAAGUCUAGGUAGAAAGAGGAAGAGGAGAAAGGAUAGAUGGUUUUCAUGUCUUCCUCUUCUCUCGGGUGUUAUGGUGUACUUAUAUAUACGGGGAUAAGGGAUUCUGUGCAUCCUAAGCUCAUUGACAAUAAAAUUAUACCUUGUUGCAGCGGCGAUGAUGUGGAUACAUUAGCUCGUGGUUUACCUAUGAGUUUGAAUUCCCACGUGCAUCCAACAAGAGUGAUCUUAUGAAGGUUCACCAGUCUAUUGUGGUUCGUGGUUCUCCAAUUUUGUCUGGUUAGAAGUUUGUCCAGUGUGGAUACGUUAACUCGUGGUUUACCUAUGAAUGAUACGUGGAGAGACACGUGAAGGAGAUAUAACAUAUAUUAGUACAAGAAAAACAAUACCAAAGAAAUUUAUAUUUUUCUAUGUUCCCUAACUAAUAAUAAUAACCAAACAUCAAAACUUGAUUGUUGGAUUAA
Long non-coding RNA from Gossypium raimondii (Peruvian cotton), 4090 nucleotides. RefSeq lists it as uncharacterized. The transcript is spliced from 3 exons. NCBI's taxonomy places the organism in Eukaryota, Viridiplantae, Streptophyta, Magnoliopsida, Malvales, Malvaceae. The record is from RefSeq and is a predicted model, not a curated record.